Long non-coding RNA from Raphanus sativus (radish), 833 nucleotides. RefSeq lists it as uncharacterized. Lineage: Eukaryota; Viridiplantae; Streptophyta; Magnoliopsida; Brassicales; Brassicaceae. The record is from RefSeq and is a predicted model, not a curated record. The transcript is spliced from 2 exons.
AAACAACAGUUGAUGCAGAAAGCGACUCAGGUAUCUUCUUGUUGAUCCAAACUUAUAACUAUGAGGGACCUUUUAGCAAAAAAAAAAAGUAUGGGGGACUUUUUGAGUUCUUUAUGAUAUCAUAGUAUCCUUCUUUUUAAGUUUAUUUAAAUCAGCUUGCUGAACCUCUGUUUAUGAAAACGGAAAAGGCAAACUACAAAGAAGCUUUAGAACGGCUCGGUAAUGCAUGUUCUUACAUUAGUAAGAUAUAUGUCAAUUGUCAAUUCGAUACUUAUUGGACGAAACAGAAGAAACUAUACUAUCUCUUUUGUGAUCAAAUAGGUGAUUGGAGCAUCGGAUUUACAGCGAUCAAAUACUGGAAAGGAUGAUAAAAGAGAGGGAUGGCAUUCCUCGCUUGUAGCAUUUGCUGGUAUUCUUUAAGUCAUACAUAUGACAUUUGUUGACUCAUGAAUGUUGCUAACAUUACCUUUACCUCAUGAAUGUUGUUAACAGUACCUCUACCUGGAGAUUGAUGUUUCUUUGUUAAUACGCUCUAUGAAAUGUUAAAGUUUUGAGGCUUAGAAGAAGAGUUACGCUUUAUAAGAGAAUUUCCAAUCCCAAUUUUCCAUUCUAUUUUGUUGUAAAUUAUGUAGUGGGAUCGAAAAUGCUCUAAGGCAAGUCAGAAGCUGUAAUGGCAUGUGAGAAAGCAAAGGCAUUGGAAUCUUCACAUUUCAGGUUUGUUUGAUUGCGCCAAAACAGCACCCGCCUUGCUAUCUUCUAGAUAUGUUGUUGCGUGUUGUUAAAGAUAGUUUGAAUCAUUAUGGUCAAUGUAAAAGUUGACCUUUCACACUCUA